This 155-nucleotide unclassified non-coding RNA is filed under the name soil metagenome. RNAcentral describes it as "partial internal transcribed spacer 1". The record is from RNAcentral.
CAAGUGACCCCGGUCUAACCACCGGGAUGUUCAUAACCCUUUGUUGUCCGACUCUGUUGCCUCCGGGGCGACCCUGCCUUCGGGCGGGGGCUCCGGGUGGACACUUCAAACUCUUGCGUAACUUUGCAGUCUGAGUAAAUUUAAUUAAUAAAUUA